Molecule: ribosomal RNA, 541 nt
Filed under: uncultured Ohtaekwangia sp.
Lineage: Bacteria; Pseudomonadati; Bacteroidota; Cytophagia; Cytophagales; Fulvivirgaceae
Description: bacterial SSU rRNA
Rfam family: Bacterial small subunit ribosomal RNA
Source: RNAcentral
UAGGGAAUAUUGGUCAAUGGAUGCAAGUCUGAACCAGCCAUGCCGCGUGCAGGAAGAAGGCCUUCUGGGUUGUAAACUGCUUUUGCCGGGGGAUAAAAUUCCCAUGCGUGGGACAUUGAAGGUACCCGGUGAAUAAGCCACGGCUAACUACGUGCCAGCAGCCGCGGUAAUACGUAGGUGGCAAGCGUUGUCCGGAUUUAUUGGGUUUAAAGGGUGCGUAGGCGGCCUAUUAAGUCAGUGCUGAAAUAUCCCGGCUUAACCGGGAGGGUGGCAUUGAUACUGAUGGGCUUGAGUAGAGUCGAGGUAGGCGGAAUUGACGGUGUAGCGGUGAAAUGCUUAGAUAUCGUCAAGAACACCGAUAGUGUAGACAGCUUACUAGGCUCAAACUGACGCUGAGGCACGAAAGUGUGGGGAUCAAACAGGAUUAGAUACCCUGGUAGUCCACACUGUAAACGUUGAUGACUCGCUGUUGGCGAUAUACUGUCAGCGGCUGAGAGAAAUCGUUAAGUCAUCCACCUGGGGAGUACGCCGGCAACGGUGA